This 1862-nucleotide long non-coding RNA is filed under the name Bemisia tabaci. Its description in RNAcentral is "lncRNA ENSSSA3NGG010602". Lineage: Eukaryota; Metazoa; Arthropoda; Insecta; Hemiptera; Aleyrodidae. The record is from RNAcentral.
AAAAACAUUGUUUCUUGCUAUUAAAAAAUCAACCUGGAGUUUUUCGAAAUAUUUUUAAUUUAAAGGAAUACUGAACGAAGAAAACAUGCCGCCAAAUUUGCAUUGAGUAAAUAAAGAGCACUCAAGUACUGUCAAAAUUGAACAUUUUACCACUGUUAAUUGUAAAAUGGAGUGUUAAUAAAUUAAUCGUCUGAUAUGAUCUCUUUUGUUUUUGUCAUAAAAUGUUUGUUUUACUACGUUUGCCGCACGAGGCUAGACCUCCUGGCAAGUUUUUUUGUAGUGGCUUUAAUUAAUUCUGUAUUAUGCAUUUUCUUUAAUAAAUGAAAUCUGAAUCUGAAUACAAUUUUUCUUCCAGGAACCAGUUUACCACUCUAGAUGGCAUCCAGUUUAAGUGGACGAUCAGUAGUAACAGUUGGCAUUCUGACUACAGAACAGACACAGUGUUCUACGCUUCAUCUCUUUUAGAGACUCUCCAUACGAAGUACCUCUUGCUAUUAAAAGUCUUGAUGAUGCUGGUCUGCAAGGUCAUACUGUUCUGUUAGAAGGCAGAAAAACUGGUUCUGCCAAGGUUUCAGUGGAGCUUCCUCAAGCCGAGUAUGAGAAGGUUGCCCCUGCUGAUGUCCAGUUAGUCGUUGUUGCUAAUCUGUUAUUGGAGCCAGCAGAUGCCUACAUGAUGAAAGGUGACACUCUUCGAUUCAAACUCCUUCAGGUGCAACAUGGAAAACUCAUCGAAAUUCCUUUGGCCUCUAGUCAGUACUAUUUUGACUCAGAGGAUCUAGAGAUUGCUAAAGUAUUGAACGAUAAUGGCCUUGUGUCUGCUGAAAAACUUGGACGCACAAAAUUAACGCUUUUCGAUCGUAAUGUGGACGAGAGAGACAGUGUCAGGCUACCACAAGCUCACAUCACCAUUGCCGAUCCAGCUCGCAUAGCUCUUAAUUUGCUACCGUAUAAAAAUUGGAAUGUCCUUAUGAACGAGCCAACUUCAAUUGUUGUGGAAAUCUUCACAGCGUAAGUAAAACUCCAGCUUGAGUAAGAAAGUAUUAUUAUCAUGAACAAAGUAUUUUCAAUGAUCAAACUGUGCUGUGUACAAAUUGUAGGCGAAUGGUCAAAUCAGGAAUUUUGUUAAAUGCUUAGGUAAAUAGCCAAGUAUUCCUACUAAAUUGAAAUUCUGAAUAUAUUGCUAACUCUAGACAAAAUAAUUUUUGAUCAUGUUGGAAAGAAUUCUCUGUCAAAAUUUGCUUCAUGCGAUGAUAAAUAAUUUUAUUCUGAUUCUUCAUUGACACCAUGGAACGUUACCGAUUUGUACUCUCAAAAUGUUGAAAAUUUGAGAGGUCUUUUUGAAAACAUACAAAGCCUCAUAAAUUCUCAAAAUUUGACCAUUGACUUGGCAUUUGAUAUAAUGCCGGAUUUGACUUUUUGCCUGGGACGCAUGCACCUAAUUUUUGUAGUUCUUCUUGUCUGUAUCAAAUAUAGUAAUUGCUUCAUUUACUAGAUACUCACUGGAUUUUGCAGGCUAGUGGACUUUAAUUUAGGUCUCAGUCAUUAUCCUGUAAAAAAAAUGUUAUAUACUUUGCAAUUCACAGGAUUUUGAUUUUACUGUUGGCAAAAUUGCACCUCGCAUUACCAGAUUCAUUCAAGUUUGCCCAUCGCAUACCUUUAUUGCUGUCCCAUAGUCAAAAUCUCAAUCAUUCAUUUUCCAUUCGAUGUAACCAUGCAUUUUACCUUACACACCAUUGGUGUGGGCACCAACUCCCAUGAGAGGUGUGAGGAGUCCUUUGAAGAAUCGCUCUUCAAAUGUAGUGCCAUCGCUGAAUAAGAGCCGACUUUUUUAGUGACAGAAUUUUUCAGCAGUGCCAGACAAA